GUAGCAAAUUGUCAACAUUUGCAAUUGUCAACAUUUUUCUCAACCACUCUCAACCACCUUCAACUACCCUCUCCACCAUCAACCACCCUCUCCUUUACAACCACUAUAUUUAUGCUUCCCUUUCUCAUGUAAACAGAUUCAAGACUGAAGACAAGAACGAGAGAGGAAGAGUGCAGUGUGUGUGCAAGAAGUAAGUGUGCAGAGAAGUGUGGUGAGUGCAACUGUGAGAGUGAGUGCAAGUGAAGAUUUGAGAGAAAAGAGUGUAAGAGUGAAACACUGGUUUUUUGUGGGUUGUAUUGGGUUGAGUUGAGUGUUUGUAUCAUUCCUCCAUUAAUAUACAAUCUGCUACCUCCGUGGACGUACCCGGUUUUGGGGAACCACGUAAAUCUGCUUGUGUUGUGUUUUAUUUGUGUUUGUUUUCGGUCCAGUAUGCACAACAAAUUGGUAUCAGAGCAUUAGGGAAGCUAGAACACUGAAAAAACACGUUUUUCAGCUCUCUGUUCAAAGUUGCAGAAUUUUCAAAGUUCUCAGAUCUUGCUUUUGACCAGCUGCGGAGAUUCCUCUCGUCCAUACGAGUCCGGCGAUAUAAAGAUUGUCGAAAUCGGAGUUGAAACGAGCCCUGUAGAGCGCGCCGAAGUUUUGCCGGAAAUCUGCCGGAAAAACCAGACAGUGCCGGAAUUCUCGCCUGAGAAGACAGCCACGUCAUCCGACACGUAGGCGCUGAGUCAUCAUCCACGUCAUCAACAGAGGGUCCACAUCGCUCUGUCAUCAGACACGUCAUCAGCCAUGUCAUCUAACAGUGACAGAAUAUUCUCUUGACAGAAUAAGAAUAUUCCGUUACCAGUAAGAGAAUAUUCCCAUGACAGAAUAUUCUUUAUCAGAGACAGAAUAUUCCUUCCCUGAGUCAACUCGGUCAGAUUGGUUUUUUGGCCAACUCAGUGAUUUUUUGACCCGUUUUUGGCCGAGUCAAGUUGGUUCCUAGCAUUUUCAACCAUUCCGGACGCAACCGUGGUGUCCGUUUUGUUAAACAGCAUACCGAAGUUACUGUUUUGGCACUUUUGAGCAUAAAAGUGUGUGUUUUAACAAUUUCGGGAUUCCAUUUGUAAUCCAAAAGACGUCCUAAUGGGUGAUAUUCCAGAAGAAAAAUCAGCGGGGAAUGCUAGUAUACCUCCACAAUACAUCCCGGUAUCGAAUACCAAAUUUGAGGUGGAGAAGUUUGAUGGGAAAGGUAAUUUUGGCAUGUGGAAAUGUGAAGUCAUGGAUAUGCUUGUCCAAAUGAAUUUAGAUUUCACUCUAGAAGAUAAACCAGAGGAUCUGGAUGAUAAAAGUUGGGAAAGGAUAAAUCGGCUGGCUUGCAGUUCUAUCCGACUUUGUCUUGUAAAGGAUCAGAAGUACGCCUUUUCAGAACAAAACUCUGCAAAGGAAUUAUGGCAAGCACUGGAGGACAAGUUUAUGAAGAAGAGUAUAGAGAAUCGUCUCUACGUGAAGAAAAGGAUCUUCCGUUUUCAGCACAAGAAAGGUACUUCUAUGAAUGAGCAUCUAAAUGAUUUCAAUAAAAUGAUAGCUGAUUUGAAGAAUUUAGAUGUGGAAAUUGAUGAUGAAGAUAAAGCUCUAUUGUUAUUGAAUUCACUGCCUGACACAUAUGAACAUCUCGUCACCACUUUACUGUAUGGUAAAGAAAAGAUUAAAUUCAUUGAUGUGUCCAAUGCUUUGGUGAAUAAUGAGUACCGAAAGAAGGACCAGAUUGUUCACAAGGAGUCAACGUCAGAAGCAUUGACAGUUAGAGGCAGAACAAACCCCAGAAGAUUUCGAGGGCGAGGGAGAUCUCGCUCAAAAUCCAGAGGAGAAUCAUCAAACAGACGAUAUCUUGCAAAAGAUGAGUGUGCCUUUUGUCACAAAAAGGGGCACUGGAAGAAAGAUUGUCCAAUCAAGGGCAACAAGGAAAAAGAUGAACCAACUGUGAACGUUGCACGAGAUGAGGAUGAACAAGACUCUGCAUUCAUGGUCUCAUCACCAGAAAACCAUUCUGGUGAAUGGGUUCUUGAUUCUGCAUGUUCCUAUCACAUGUGCCCUAACAAGCACUUAUUCUCGAGACUCGAGGAGUUCGAUGGAGGAGGUGUGUUGAUGGGUAAUGAUGAUGUGAGUGAGAUCAAAGGGAUUGGGACUAUCCAUCUGAAGAUGCAUAAUGGGGUAGUCAAGACACUAACAGAUGUACGGUAUGUACCUGACUUGAAGAAAAAUCUCUUCUCACUUGGAGUUCUAGAAUCCAGUGGUUAUAAGAUUAUCAUGCAUGGUGGAGUCUUGAGAGCAAUCCGUGGUGCAUUAGUUGUCUUAAGAGGCACGAGGAUAAGAAACUUAUAUUUCCUGGAUGGAUCUACAGUUACUGGUACAACAGCUGUUUCCAAAAGUAUAGAAGAUGAUGAAGCAGAUAAUUCCAGACUUUGGCACAUGCGCUUAGGGCAUGCUGGUGAAAAGGCUUUGCAAGGAUUAGUCAAGCAAGGUCUAUUAAAAGGCGCCAAGACUGGGAAGCAUGGGUUCUGCGAGCAUUGUGUUCUUGGAAAACAGACAAGGGUCAAGUUUGGCACUGCGGUACACAACACAAAAGGGAUCCUAGAUUAUGUUCACACAGACGUAUGGGGACCUUCAAAGAAUGAAUCUCUUGGAGGUAAUCGUUGGUUUGUUACUUUUAUUGAUGAUUUCUCAAGACGAGUAUGGGUGUACAUGAUGAAACACAAGGAUGAGGUCCUUGAUAUCUUUCUGAAAUGGAAGAAAAUGGUGGAGACUCAAACUGGAAGGAGGGUUAAGACUCUUCGGUCAGAUAAUGGUGGCGAGUACACUUCAGAUCCUUUCUUUGAAGUUUGUCAGGAUGAAGGGAUCAAGCGACAUUUUACUGUUCGCAAAACACCACAACAGAAUGGAGUAGCGGAACGCAUGAACCGCACAUUGGUGGAGAAAGUCCGAUGUAUGCUAUCACAUUCGGGACUAAGCAAAGUGUUUUGGGGCGAGGCAUUAAGCUAUGCUCGUCAUAUUGUUAAUCGGUUACCUUCAGCAGCAUUAAAUGGAAGAACCCCUUUAGAGGUAUGGUCAGGCUCUCCUGCAAAUGAUUAUGACUCUAUGCGUAUAUUUGGUUGCUCAGCAUAUUAUCAUGUUACUGAGUCCAAGCUAGAUCCUAGAGCCAAGAAAGCUAUAUUUUUGGGCUUUAGUGGAGGAGUAAAAGGCUACAGACUCUGGUGUUCUGAAUCAAAGAAAGUGAUCUUGAGUAGAGAUGUCACUUUUGAUGAGUCUGGCAUGUUACAGCAAGAGAAAUCACAGGAGAAGGAAAAACAGUCUGGUGAUGCACAACAGGUGGAGUUGGAGACUUCAGUCAUUCCUAUAAAGACUGUUCAGACAAUCCCUACUGAAGGAGAUUCAGAUGAAAGUUCAGACGAAGAGGAUGCAACAACUCCAGCAACCACACAACAAGAAUCCAUUGCAACGAGUAAACCGAAAAGAGUUAUCAAGAAACCUGCUCGGUAUUGUAACAUGGUGGCUUAUGCACUUCCGGUGAUUGAUGAUGGAAUCCCCUACACCUACAAAGAAGCAGUACAGAGUGUAGAAAGUGCAAAAUGGAAAGAGGCAAUGGAUGAAGAGAUGAAAUCUCUCCACAAGAAUCAGACUUGGGAUUUGGUACAACUCCCUAAAGGAAAGAAGACAAUUGGUUGCAAGUGGGUAUAUGCCAAGAAGGAAGGUAAUCCUGGAAAAGACAACAUCCGAUUCAAAGCAAGAUUGGUAGCAAAAGGCUAUGCUCAGAAGGAGGGGAUAGAUUAUAAUGAGGUAUUCUCUCCAGUUGUUAAGCAUUCAUCAAUUCGUAUUCUGUUAGCCUUGGUUGCACAGUUUGAUUUGGAGUUAGCCCAACUUGAUGUGAAAACUGCCUUCCUACAUGGAGAUUUGGAAGAGGAAAUUUACAUGUCUCAGCCAGAUGGUUUCAAAGUCACUGGGAAAGAGAAUUGGGCUUGUAAACUGAAGAAGUCAUUAUACGGAUUGAAACAAUCUCCUCGCUAGUGGUAUAAGCGAUUUGAUAAGUUCAUGGCAGAACAUGGAUACACACGGAGUCAGUUUGAUCACUGUGUAUAUUUUCGCAAACUUCUUGAUGGUUCUUUCAUCUAUUUGCUCUUAUAUGUGGAUGAUAUGUUGAUCGCAUCAAAGAGCAAGGUGGAGAUUGAUAGACUGAAAGCUCAACUGAGAACUGAGUUUGAAAUGAAGGACCUUGGAGAAGCUAAGAAGAUUCUUGGCAUGGAGAUUCAGAGAGACAGAAGAAAAGGCACAGUCUGUUUGACACAGACCCAAUACUUGAAGAAAAUUCUACAGAGAUUUGGGGUAGAUGGUAAGACCAAGCCUGUAAGCACACCUUUAGCUCCUCAUUUUAAGCUAAGUGCUUCAAUGUCUCCACGCACAGAGGAAGAGCGCAAGCAUAUGGCUCAAAUUCCUUAUGCAAAUGCAGUUGGUGCAUUAAUGUAUGCAAUGGUUUGUACGAGACCAGAUAUUUCACAUGCUGUCAGUAUGGUGAGCAGGUAUAUGCAUGAUCCGGGAAAGGGUCACUGGCAGGCAGUUAAGUGGAUUCUACGGUACAUUCAUGGCACAACUGAUAUUGGUUUGAAGUUUGAGAGGGAUGAUAGACUCGGGCAAAAUUUAGUUGGUUAUGUGGACUCGGACUAUGCUGGUGACUUAGACAAGCGUCGUUCAACAACAGGCUAUGUGUUCACACUUGCUAAAGGGCCUGUAAGUUGGAGGUCAACGUUACAAUCAACAAUAGCUUUGUCAACAACUGAGGCAGAGUACAUGGCAGUAACAGAAGCUUUCAAGGAAGCUAUUUGGUUACAUGGGUUGAUUGAAGAUUUGGGAAUUGUUCAAGAGCACGUGGAUGUCCAUUGUGAUAGUCAAAGUGCUAUUUGUCUUGCAAAGAAUCAGGUUCAUCAUUCCCGCACCAAGCACAUCGAUGUUCGAUUUCAUUUUGUUCGAGAAAUUGUGGAUGAAGGGGAUAUUCUGCUACAGAAGAUUGGUACCGCAGAUAAUCCAGCUGACAUGCUCACAAAAUGUGUCUCAGGGAUCAAGUUCCAACAUUGUUUGGACUUGGUCAACAUCUCUCGGUGUUGAGCACCUUCAGGGUGCAGCGCCAUACGGCGCGUUAGAGGCAGCAUUGAUUGAUCACGAGGAUUGCAUGGAAAAAUCUUGCCAAGGUGGAGAUUUGUAGCAAAUUGUCAACAUUUGCAAUUGUCAACAUUUUUCUCAACCACUCUCAACCACCUUCAACUACCCUCUCCACCAUCAACCACCCUCUCCUUUACAACCACUAUAUUUAUGCUUCCCUUUCUCAUGUAAACAGAUUCAAGACUGAAGACAAGAACGAGAGAGGAAGAGUGCAGUGUGUGUGCAAGAAGUAAGUGUGCAGAGAAGUGUGGUGAGUGCAACUGUGAGAGUGAGUGCAAGUGAAGAUUUGAGAGAAAAGAGUGUAAGAGUGAAACACUGGUUUUUUGUGGGUUGUAUUGGGUUGAGUUGAGUGUUUGUAUCAUUCCUCCAUUAAUAUACAAUCUGCUACCUCCGUGGACGUACCCGGUUUUGGGGAACCACGUAAAUCUGCUUGUGUUGUGUUUUAUUUGUGUUUG
This 5642-nucleotide long non-coding RNA is filed under the name Populus trichocarpa (black cottonwood). Its description in RNAcentral is "long non-coding RNA (PTRI_LNC001564)". Lineage: Eukaryota; Viridiplantae; Streptophyta; Magnoliopsida; Malpighiales; Salicaceae. The record is from RNAcentral.